AAAUUGAAGAGUUUGAUCAUGGCUCAGAUUGAACGCUGGCGGCAGGCCUAACACAUGCAAGUCGAACGGUAACAGGAAGCAGCUUGCUGCUUUGCUGACGAGUGGCGGACGGGUGAGUAAUGUCUGGGAAACUGCCUGAUGGAGGGGGAUAACUACUGGAAACGGUGGCUAAUACCGCAUAAUGUCGCAAGACCAAAGAGGGGGA
This 205-nucleotide ribosomal RNA is filed under the name Salmonella enterica subsp. enterica serovar Oranienburg. RNAcentral's name for it is "partial 16S ribosomal RNA". It matches the Rfam family "Bacterial small subunit ribosomal RNA", at positions 1 to 213 of the family's 1533-position model. Lineage: Bacteria; Pseudomonadati; Pseudomonadota; Gammaproteobacteria; Enterobacterales; Enterobacteriaceae. The record is from RNAcentral. RNAcentral also lists the same sequence under 5 other names.